CAAAGAUCAAGACCAUAUUUCACAACAUUCAAUUUAAAUAUUACUUGAUAAGUCACUUGGCAGUAUUAUCAAUUGCUGUUACAAAAUUUUCAAAUAGUUAUACAAUUAAAAUGCCAUUGUUCAGUAAACAAAAACUUACUUCAGUAAAAAAUCAUGUUGUCACUGAAAAAUUAACCUUUAAUAACAAUAAUAGGAUAUCUAGACAUAUCAAAACAGCACCUUUCUUCAAAUACUUUGUUUUUAUGCUUUCUUUAAAUAUGUUAGUCUACUGUCCACUGGCUUUUCAGUUGUAUUCGACGAGUAAUUAGCAGUAGUAAUUAGUGUUAGUAGUAGCCAUUUAAAAUUCUUUUUCACCAUAGAUUUCAUGAAUAAUUUUACAGGUUGUAGAUGCAAAUUGUAGAGUAAUUAAUGUUAAUGCCCGAUACCCUGGCAGGGUACAUGAUGCUUUUAUUUGGCACCACUCGAGUGUCAGAAAUGAAUUGAAAAGGCUGCAUGAAAGAAGAAUUGGAAAUUACUUCCUGUUGGGUGACUCAGGUUACCCAUUAGAGCCAUGGCUAAUGACGCCAAUCCUACAUGCAGAGCUCAACACUCCAGAAAAAAAAAUACACAGACUGGCACUGUCAAGCUCGUAAUACAGUUGAAAGAGCAAAUGGCUACCUCAAAGGUAGCCUAAGAUGUUUAAUGUACCACUGGAGGAAGACACAGCAAAUGAGCAGCAGAGAGAUCAGCCUACAGGAAUGGAGGAACCUAGGCACCUCAUUAGAAUUGGUCAAAUCAGACGUGCAGAGUUAAUUAAUAUUUAUUUUAAUUAAAUGAAGAUUUUUAAAUGAUUGUA
Molecule: long non-coding RNA, 835 nt
Organism: Melitaea cinxia (Glanville fritillary)
Lineage: Eukaryota; Metazoa; Arthropoda; Insecta; Lepidoptera; Nymphalidae
Exons: 3
Source: RefSeq, a predicted model, not a curated record